GGGUUUCCCAUCUUCCUCUGCAGCAUAGAGCAUGAGUCACUUGCUGGUUUAAACAAGAGUAAAUGGUGGAUUCUUCAUAACUUGAAGUCUUUAAAUCAAGAUUGGCUGAGUUACUGAAGUCCUCAAGAGGUUAUGGGACUAUUAGAGGAGUGGGUGUUUGAGGUUCAGUGGCCUGCAAUGUGCAGAAGGUCACACUAGAAAGAUGAUCACUAUGAUACCUUCUGGCCUUAAAGUCUAUUUCUAGGCCAGUGAGCUACAGUGCAGUAAAAGUUAGUUAAAUAAUUUAUCAGAAAGGGUCAUCUGUCAGGAAGAUUUCCUGACAACAGAGUAGCACACCAUAAAACUCCCACCUUCUAAGUACAGUGUAUUCAGUCUAUAUAUAUAUACAGCUAGUGUGGGAUGCAAAAAGGUUGUGAAAUUACUCAGAUGUGUAGGAGUUUUAAAAUGUUAUAACCACAAUAAAUACUCUACCUUAAAGGCCAUGUGCCAAGUCAGGAGAUUUUGUGAACAAAAGGAUCCUGUACUUGAAUCAUUGAAUAAAACAUGAUUUUACUUUC
This is a long non-coding RNA of Chelonia mydas (Green sea turtle), 557 nucleotides long. RefSeq lists it as uncharacterized. The record is from RefSeq and is a predicted model, not a curated record. Lineage: Eukaryota; Metazoa; Chordata; Testudines; Cheloniidae. The transcript has 2 exons.